AUGAAGAAGAUCAAGGCGGCGCGCGGGGGAGCGGCGGCCACGGCGCCGACCGACUUGCUCGUCUGCUUCCCCGGCCGGCAGCACCUGGCGCUGAUGCCCAAGUCGAUGUGCAGCCCGUCCAGGGCCACCCUGGACAAGGCGGUGGCCGCGCGCCGGAGGCAGCUGCAGCUCCCGGCCGCGCCGGCCACGCGGUACGGGGGAGGAGGACGUGGUAGUACUAGUAGCCCGCUGUUCCGCGGUUCUAAGGCGAAGGAGACCGUCGGGGACGACGAGCCGCAGUCGCCCAAGGUGACAUGCGCCGGGCAGAUCAAGGUCGGCCGGCCAAAGAAGCCGAGGCCCAUGGUGGAGAAGCACGUCAAGGGCGACGGCGGCAGUGGGGGCAGGUGGGUCACCGUGGCGGAGGAGAUCGAGCGGCUGCAGGAGCGGAGGAAGAAGGCGAGCUGGCUAGAGACCGUCGGGAUCAGGAGGGACGCGCUGCCCUUCCUCGGCGGCGCGCUCUGGAGCCUUCGGCACAAGGUGAGGUGCUUCGGGUCGUCGCUCCCCGCCGCGGUGGACUCUUCGACGGACGACGACAAUGACGUGGAGGAGCGCGAGCGCAAAUCCGCCGCCGCGAGCGUGUUCUCCAAGUGGCUCAUGGUGCUGGAAAGGAGCCAUGAACCCCACGAGCAAGACGACAACGACGACGAGCUAGACCAAGAAGACGGGCGGCCGAGCAAUGAGGCGGGAGACGACUGCUCCAAAGCGACGUCCGUGCCUCCGCCGUCGAACGCGCUGCUCCUAAUGCGGUGCCGGUCGGCGCCGGCGAAGGGGUUGGCGAGGAAAGGAGCAGAACCGGCCGGCGAGGAGGCCACGCAGGAGAAGGGGGGCAUGGAGGAGAAGAGGGACGAGCUGGUGUUCAUGAGAACGGCGCCAGACUUCCUGAAGCUGUCCAUCGACAUCGCCAAGGAGACGUGGGUCGUCGGCGGCGUGGACCCCCUCGCGAGAAGCCGGAGCUGGAAAAGGUGA
Molecule: ribosomal RNA, 1005 nt
Filed under: Triticum aestivum (bread wheat)
Lineage: Eukaryota; Viridiplantae; Streptophyta; Magnoliopsida; Poales; Poaceae
Description: partial small subunit ribosomal RNA
Source: RNAcentral